RNAcentral lists this RNase P RNA (326 nucleotides) under marine eukaryotic metagenome. RNAcentral describes it as "Bacterial RNase P class A". It matches the Rfam family "Bacterial RNase P class A". Rfam says of the family: Ribonuclease P (RNase P) is a ubiquitous endoribonuclease, found in archaea, bacteria and eukarya as well as chloroplasts and mitochondria. Its best characterised activity is the generation of mature 5'-ends of tRNAs by cleaving the 5'-leader elements of precursor-tRNAs. Cellular RNase Ps are ribonucleoproteins. The record is from RNAcentral.
CAUUGAAUCAGGGCCGAGGAAAGUCCGGACUCCGCAGGGCGGUGUGGUGGAUAACUCCACCGGGAGCGAUCCCAGGGAAAGUGCCACAGAAAAUAUACCGCCGACCUCGAGAGAGAAUCGGUAAGGGUGAAAUGGUGAGGUAAGAGCUCACCGCGAGAGUGGUGACACUUCUCGGCAAGGUAAACCCCACACGGAGCAAGACCGAAUAGGGGAGCAGAGGCUGCUCGUUUCGCGCGGACUCGUCCGCAUAACUCCCGGGUAGGUCGCAAAGAUGAAUGGUCUCGGGCUGGACCCAGGUCCAGUCAACAGAAUCCGGCUUACAACCU